Frieseomelitta varia is the source of this 521-nucleotide long non-coding RNA. RefSeq lists it as uncharacterized. The transcript has 2 exons. The record is from RefSeq and is a predicted model, not a curated record. Lineage: Eukaryota; Metazoa; Arthropoda; Insecta; Hymenoptera; Apidae.
UUAAAUAUUUUUAUUUUUAAUUGUGCUAAAAAGAACAUUGAUCUACGAUCAGGUUACUAAGGUAACGAAUCUUCGUUUUCGAAGGAGGAAAUCAGUAACAAUGCCGAGAAGAAUUGUGUUUGGUAAAAUCGGUAUUAUUAUUAUCAGAAAUUUAAAAUAUAAUAAGAUGUUGUUAUUACAACAUACGAAAGAAAUAGCAUCGGCGUUUGAUGAAAAGUUUUAUUGAAAGUCUUCAUUCUUAAAAAAUCAUGCGCUAUUGAUUCGUCAAAUUAUCAAGCAAAUUUUAUUUACAAACCAAUUCCUUUUUUUUUUUAUUUCUUUUCGAAAUUUUAUUACCUACUGUUCUCAUUUAAUUUCUAAUUUUUCUAGCAGUCAUACCAAGAUCUGGCCAAUACUGUUAAAAUCUUGACAAAUUUUGUAAAAAUCUUACGUUUAAAUAUCGUGAUUUGUUUUUAGAUACUUAGAAUUUCAAUAAUUGAAAUUCGAUCUUAUACAAUUGACUACACAUUCGUAAAGGAAAC